GGGCACUUUUCUGGGCGGAUGUGUCGUAUUCGAGUGCAGUGCACUAGGAAACCGAUCUGGGCAAUUGCAGGAUGGCCAACCACAGCACAGCUACGGAUAAAUGGUUGAUUGGUUCACAGUUCACAGCUCACUUUGUCAGUGCUGCCGGACCUACCGCCAACUUACAAAGUUGCCCAGCCCUUGGCGCUAAAUUUGAAUUUUAAAUUUAUUUGUUCGCUAUGGACUUACAAUUUAAGAAAUGUACACUAUAGUUAAUCUUUGCAGUGUGGUAACUUUUGAUUUGCCAUCAAAAUAAGAAUUGGUUUCUAUUGAACAAAUAUAUAACUUUAAGUAGUGUU
This is a long non-coding RNA of Drosophila elegans, 338 nucleotides long. RefSeq lists it as uncharacterized. The record is from RefSeq and is a predicted model, not a curated record. Lineage: Eukaryota; Metazoa; Arthropoda; Insecta; Diptera; Drosophilidae. The transcript is spliced from 2 exons.